AACGCACAUUGCGCCCGCCAGUAUUCUGGCGGGCAUGCCUGUUCGAGCGUCAUUUCAACCCUCAAGCCCCCGGGCUUGGUGCUGGGGAUCGGCCGUCAUGGGCCGGCCCCGAAAUCGAUUGGCGGUCUCGCUGUAGCCUCCUCUGCGUAGUAGCAACACCUCGCACUGGAACGCGGCGCGGCCACGCCGUAAAACCCCAACUUCUGAAAGGUUGACCUCGGAUCAGGUAGGAAUACCCGCUGAACUUAA
Molecule: unclassified non-coding RNA, 249 nt
Filed under: uncultured Hypocreales
Lineage: Eukaryota; Fungi; Ascomycota; Sordariomycetes; Hypocreales
Description: sequence contains ITS2
Rfam family: 5.8S ribosomal RNA (bases 1-52)
Source: RNAcentral